GGGUCUUUAGCUCAGCAGUAGAGCGGCAGACUUCGGUUUAAUCUGAAGGUCCUAUCAGGCAUUCUGCAGGUCGCGGGUUCAAUCCCCGUAGGACUCU
The sequence is a transfer RNA, 97 nucleotides long. It matches the Rfam family "tRNA". From Rfam's summary of the family: Transfer RNA (tRNA) molecules are approximately 80 nucleotides in length. Their secondary structure includes four short double-helical elements and three loops (D, anti-codon, and T loops). The record is from Rfam.